This 511-nucleotide ribosomal RNA is filed under the name Salmonella enterica subsp. enterica serovar Virchow. RNAcentral describes it as "partial 23S ribosomal RNA". It matches the Rfam family "Bacterial large subunit ribosomal RNA", at positions 2013 to 2523 of the family's 2925-position model. Lineage: Bacteria; Pseudomonadati; Pseudomonadota; Gammaproteobacteria; Enterobacterales; Enterobacteriaceae. The record is from RNAcentral.
AGGCUGUCUCCACCCGAGACUCAGUGAAAUUGAACUCGCUGUGAAGAUGCAGUGUACCCGCGGCAAGACGGAAAGACCCCGUGAACCUUUACUAUAGCUUGACACUGAACAUUGAGCCUUGAUGUGUAGGAUAGGUGGGAGGCUUUGAAGUGUGGACGCCAGUCUGCAUGGAGCCGACCUUGAAAUACCACCCUUUAAUGUUUGAUGUUCUAACGUGGACCCGUUACCCGGGUUGCGGACAGUGUCUGGUGGGUAGUUUGACUGGGGCGGUCUCCUCCUAAAGAGUAACGGAGGAGCACGAAGGUUGGCUAAUCCUGGUCGGACAUCAGGAGGUUAGUGCAAUGGCAUAAGCCAGCUUGACUGCGAGCGUGACGGCGCGAGCAGGUGCGAAAGCAGGUCAUAGUGAUCCGGUGGUUCUGAAUGGAAGGGCCAUCGCUCAACGGAUAAAAGGUACUCCGGGGAUAACAGGCUGAUACCGCCCAAGAGUUCAUAUCGACGGCGGUGUUUGGCA